Molecule: ribosomal RNA, 294 nt
Filed under: Shigella sp. FC1967
Lineage: Bacteria; Pseudomonadati; Pseudomonadota; Gammaproteobacteria; Enterobacterales; Enterobacteriaceae
Description: partial 23S ribosomal RNA
Rfam family: Bacterial large subunit ribosomal RNA
Source: RNAcentral
GGAUAUUAUCAUUAACUGAAUACAUAGGUUAAUGAGGCGAACCGGGAGAACUGAAACAUCUCAGUACCCCCGAGGAAAAGAAAUCAACCGAGAUUCCCCCUAGUAGCGGCGAGCGAACGGGGAGCAGCCCAGAGUCUUAAUCAAUAGCAGCAUCAGGAGAACGGUCUGGAAAGUCCGGCAGUAAAGGGUGAUAGCCCCCGUAUCCGAAGAUGCUGUUAUUGUGAACUCGACGAGUAGGGCGGGACACGUGUUAUCCUGUCUGAAUAUGGGGGGGACCAUCCUCCAAGGCUAAAU